AGGAUUAACGCUGGCGGCGUGCCUAACACAUGCAAGUCGAACGAGGGGGGCAACCCCCGAGUGGCAGACGGGUGAGUAACGCGUGGUCAACCUACCCUAGAGUGGGGAAUAACUAGCCGAAAGGUUAGCUAAUACCGCAUGAUACGUUUUGGGACAUCCCAGGACGUUGAAAGGAGCAAUCCGCUCGAGGACGGGACCGCGUCCGAUUAGCUAGUUGGUGAGGUAACGGCCCACCAAGGCUCCGAUCGGUAGCUGGUUUGAGAGAGCGACCAGCCACACUGGGACUGAGAAACGGCCCAGACUCCUACGGGAGGCAGCAGUGAGGAAUUUUCCGCAAUGGGCGAAAGCCUGACGGAGCGACGCCGCGUGUGGGAAGAAGGCCUUCGGGUCGUAAACCACUGUCGAAGGGGACUAUACUGAAGGUACCCUUGGAGGAAGCCCGGCUAACUACGCGCCAGCAGCCGC
Molecule: ribosomal RNA, 465 nt
Filed under: uncultured bacterium
Lineage: Bacteria
Description: SSU rRNA
Rfam family: Bacterial small subunit ribosomal RNA
Source: RNAcentral